Molecule: long non-coding RNA, 904 nt
Organism: Pan troglodytes (chimpanzee)
Lineage: Eukaryota; Metazoa; Chordata; Mammalia; Primates; Hominidae
Source: Ensembl
AAAAUUACUUACAACUUAUGUUCUCCAUGGGACACUUUCAGAUGCAAAGUUAAUGAAUUAGCCAACAUUAAUUUAUUCUCUUCUCCCUUCCAGCAAACAAAAUAUUCUUAUGAUUCUUUUCAUAGCCUGGUGGUGGUAUUGUUUAUGUACGUGUCUAUGUCUUCACUUACUUUGUGAACCACUGAAAGGCAAUGGCAGAACUGCUAUUCCUUACAUGCAUAAGCUAAACCAUAAAGGAGAUACAGUCAAUACAAAUAUGAAAGCAAGAUUUGUAUGAUCAAGUGGAAUUAAGAUGGCAGCUAAAGAUGGUAAAGUUAUGUUUCACAUAGCAUCUUCCUCCAAGAACUCAUAACUUGAACAACAAAUCUUUGAUGGAGAGUGAGAACCGAAAAAUCACACCAGAAGCAAUCAGCAAAAAAAGGCAAUCACCUGCAUAGGCAGAAAUAUCCAAGUGUUCCCAAGAUUUAGAUUUUGCAAACACAUGUGGCACUUAGCUAAACCCUGAAGAGGAGUGCUAAAAAGAAGCAAAGGGAGAAAAGAGUGAGUGAGGGCAAGUGGAAGUGAUGAAAGUGCUCACAAGUAAAAGACAAGCUCCAACUUAGAAAGAAAAUUAAGAGUGGAUACCAACGAGUAAUGAUAUCACACUCUGGGGUGUAGAGAAAAACUUUCCUUUCUAGUGAAAUUCCCCUCAAUAAAAAUCUAUAUAACAUCAGAUACAGAAAUCAUUACUGGGGUUAGCUAUUUUUGUGAAAAUUUGGAUUUAGUUUUUGGUUUGCAGUAAGAUGACAUUUAGCCAAGCAAAUACUAAAGAGAUAACUUAAAAAGAGAAAUAUCUAUUAGAAAGCAAGCUUCAGAUAAUUAAAAAAAAAACAGGAGGACACCAACAUAAAAAUUUAGUCAUGAG